This 492-nucleotide ribosomal RNA is filed under the name uncultured bacterium. Its description in RNAcentral is "partial 16S ribosomal RNA". It matches the Rfam family "Bacterial small subunit ribosomal RNA", at positions 29 to 507 of the family's 1533-position model. The record is from RNAcentral.
AGUGAACGCUGGCGGUAGGCCUAACACAUGCAAGUCGAACGGCAGCACAGUAAGAGCUUGCUCUUACGGGUGGCGAGUGGCGGACGGGUGAGGAAUACAUCGGAAUCUACUUUUUCGUGGGGGAUAACGUAGGGAAACUUACGCUAAUACCGCAUACGACCUACGGGUGAAAGCAGGGGAUCUUCGGACCUUGCGCGAUUGAAUGAGCCGAUGUCGGAUUAGCUAGUUGGCGGGGUAAAGGCCCACCAAGGCGACGAUCCGUAGCUGGUCUGAGAGGAUGAUCAGCCACACUGGAACUGAGACACGGCCCAGACUCCUACGGGAGGCAGCAGUGGGGAAUAUUGGACAAUGGGCGCAAGCCUGAUCCAGCCAUACCGCGCGGGUGAAGAAGGCCUUCGGGUUGUAAAGCCCUUUUGUUGGGAAAGAAAAGCAGCAGGUUAAUACCCCGCUGUUCUGACGGUACCCAAAGAAUAAGCACCGGCUAACUUCGUG